UACGUUCCCAGGCCUUGUACACACCGCCCGUCACAUCAUGAAAGCCGCUUGUACCCGAAGUCGCCCUUAAAGGUGCCGAAGGUAUGGUGGUGAUUGGAGUG
This 101-nucleotide ribosomal RNA is filed under the name uncultured bacterium. RNAcentral describes it as "partial 16S ribosomal RNA". It matches the Rfam family "Bacterial small subunit ribosomal RNA", at positions 1367 to 1482 of the family's 1533-position model. The record is from RNAcentral.